Molecule: long non-coding RNA, 774 nt
Organism: Stegostoma tigrinum
Lineage: Eukaryota; Metazoa; Chordata; Chondrichthyes; Orectolobiformes; Stegostomatidae
Exons: 6
Source: RefSeq, a predicted model, not a curated record
GUAUUCCUGGGCGACUCUGCUCGUGUGGUCUGUGGAGUUGUGGAGGUCGCAGUUCUAGGACAGCCAUUUCAUAGGCCUCUGCUGCAGUGGAUCUGUUGGAGUUGCACACAGCGCAACGCGUCUUUGAUCAACACAAAUUGACACAAACCGAGCAACUUCUGAAUGUGACUGAAGUAAUCAACUGUUUAACGUCCAUUUAUGAUGUUUUGGAACAAAACCACAAGGACUUGGUCAAUGUGCCACUCUGUGUCGACAUGUGUCUGAACUGGCUGCUGAACGUAUUUGAUACCAUCGAGACCAAGCCAGACAGCUUGUCAUGCUUGUCAGCAGUCAUCAAUCAAAGGAGUGGAUGUGUUGCCGUUCAGCACCGUGAUAUGUUGAUCUCACACCUGCAGUAUGUGCCAGCUGCAGAAGCACAGAAGGCAUUGCAUUGUCUCCAACCACAUGGUCAUGCUUCAGGUUCCGAGGGGAAUGGUCUCCAGUCAAGCGAGGCAGUUUCAGGCAGCAGAUCGAGGGGUAUGAGUGGAAGAAUCAGAGUGCUUUCUUUGAAAAUUCGCUUGACGUGACUCUUCAAGGAUCAUCUGGAGGAAAAAUACAAGUAUCUCUUCAAACAAGUCGCUGAACCCACAGAUUUAUGUGACCAACGAAGCCUGAGUCUUUUGCUUUACGAUGCAGUCCAGAUCCCUUGGCAGCUGGGUGAGGUAGCUUCAUUUGGAGGCUGCAACAUUGAACCAAGUAUCCGCAGUUGCUUCCAACAUGGCCAGAACAAACCAG